CCUACGGGUGGCAGCAGUCGAGAAUCAUUCACAAUGGGGGAAACCCUGAUGGUGCGACGCCGCGUGGGGGAAUGAAGGUCUUCGGAUUGUAAACCUCUGUCAUGUGGGAGCAAAUUAAAAAGAUAGUACCACAAGAGGAAUAGACGGCUAACUCUGUUCCAGCAGCCGCGGUAAUACAGAGGCCUCAAGCGUUGUUCGGAUUGACUGGGCGUAAAGUGUGCGUAGUCUGUUUCGUAAGUAGUGUGUGAAAGGCGCGGGCUCAACCCGAGGAGUGCAAAUGAUACUGGGAGACUAGAGUACAGGAGGGGUAAGCGGAAUUCUCGGUGUAGCAGUGAAAUGCGUAGAUAUCGCGAAGAACACUGGUGGCGAAGGCGGGUUACUGGACAUUAACUGACGCUGAGGCACGAAGGCGAGGGGAGCGAAAGGGAUUAGAUACCCCUGUAGUC
This 446-nucleotide ribosomal RNA is filed under the name uncultured bacterium. RNAcentral describes it as "partial 16S ribosomal RNA". It matches the Rfam family "Bacterial small subunit ribosomal RNA", at positions 338 to 795 of the family's 1533-position model. The record is from RNAcentral.